Cyanidioschyzon merolae strain 10D is the source of this 2098-nucleotide RNA transcript. RefSeq lists it as hypothetical. The transcript has a single exon. NCBI's taxonomy places the organism in Eukaryota, Rhodophyta, Bangiophyceae, Cyanidiales, Cyanidiaceae. The record is from RefSeq and is a predicted model, not a curated record.
AACAGCGGCAGUAUACAGAAACACAGGAGAGCGUCAACCGGCGUUCAGCUUCAAUGAACGAUAUCGCAGUACAGUGCCAGUGAUGUGUCCGAUAACAUGGUGCUGGCUUGUGCAUAGGGUCUCCACUUGACGUCUCCGCUCCUAAGCAGGUCUCGCGCAAAACGCACCGCCUAACGUCGUCGAAUGCUCUACAUGGAGCGUCUGUGGAACAGCGAUUCGUGGUGAGCGAAGAAGUGUCCAUAGAAAUCUGCAUUUUGUCUGAUAACGGUGCAUGCAGUCUGGUCGUAUGUGUGUUGAUAUAGGCUCCAAUGCGUGCCUGAGGUCGUACGGGUAAAUACGCGCUGGAAGCUGCGGACGGAAUCCAGGUAGCGCUAUGACAAUCGAAGGAUCCGCUAGCGAGUGGUCGACGCUGACGGCUCGACGUAGUCGAAUCACUGUGCAAGGGCACGGGGCGAGCCCAGGUCGAACUCGCUGAGACCCAACCAGCUGCGGAUGAAAGAGGUGCUCCAAGGAACGCAGCAUCAAGGUCAGCGAUAUGGCAGAAGCGGGAACGCACGCACACACAGUGUGGAACGAGUGCAGUGCACGAUGGAUCUGGUAUUGCUGUCAUCGCUUUUGGUACAUGAGUAUCACCUGUCGACCGAAUGAAGUCCGUAGCGACAGCAAGUGGCGCCUGGGCGCGGGGAAGGUUGGGCGUUUUCCCGGAAGCGUCGCGAGUCCGCACGAAAGACCCGCUGGUCGACAGUGCACCGACGAUAACUGCGUCGACUCGUCAUGCAUGACAUGAAGAGAACGACAGCCUCGGUGGUGUCCGUACAACUAGACUACUGCAGAGCGGUGAUUUUUGCGGCACGCUAGUCGUACUCGUACGAGAAUAAAAUGGUAUGGGCCCAAGCCGAGCGUACACGUUCAAGUAUCGGUCUCUUCCGAAGGUCAUCAGCAGAAGCCGUUGCGAGCUUUUUCCUGUGACCGCUUCCUUGCGCUCUGUUCAAAUCGCCGGCUAUCAAUAGGUCUGGAGCUCCAGUCCCUCUGGAUCCCUUACCAGCUGUCGAAGCAUGUUGAUGGAAGCGUUCAAGUCCCGAUUUCGCUACUUCCGGCUGCUGUCAGAGCAUGUCAUGCAUCGGCAAACGCUGCGACCUAUGCUUCGCUUGCCAUUUCCAUGUUGUUUCUGUUCGACUUCGAUGUACGCGUCAAAGCGGUGACAUCUGGUUAUCUUGCGGUGUUCUCCUGUGUCCGCAACGCCGGCUUCACGGGGCUACUUCCUUGUGGUGCCUGAACGCUUACCUCAUUGCCCGCUAGAUGCGCUUGACGGAUGCAGAGACGCUCGUCCAUAUCCGAAUCCGUUUCUGCGCCCGGGGAUGCAGCGCCCGAUCAGACGUGCUUUUCCAGGUUAUCCACUUGGUGCGUAGUUGGUCCCCUGUAUGCGUAUGCGAACGUUGCGUCAUCCGACAGAGGAUUUGCGGAUCGCGAUAUUGUCCAUGAUGAAACCAGUACCGCGUCCGAAAUCGGAGCCCGACGAUCAGCUCGUCACAUUCCCAUCGGUAUACGCCCCGUCGUGCACAGCAGUGAUGCUCUCGCUAUCGCAAGCAGUCGCUGCGAUGACUAGAUUCCGAGUGAAAGAUGCUAUUCCAAGUCAACAGAAGAGAACAGAGACGAUCGUGCAUAUCCCGUGAGAGGUAUUGUGCUGGUGUCGGAUGCCGUUUCGUCUAAGGUCACAUGGAGAGGAGGAUUUGUAUUCCGCAGUUGUCGAUUGCUUGACGUGACACGUUCAUUGAACUUUAAACAAGAACUUGUGAACAAGUGCUCUAGCGACGACAUUGAGCUGUUUUCUUCAUCGAUCCAGUGGCACGAAUAGCGGCGCCUGCGACUUGCCUUGGUUGAUCAAAAACGUGCAGCAUGCGCAAACCAUACAUGCAGCACGUAAGGAAUUCAGAAGAUCAAAGGCUUCUAUCUAUGAAUUUGUUGAUGAUAUCGAUUAUUUUACGAAGCCUUUUUCGAAGGUGUCUCGAUUCGCCCUGAUGUUGAGUACGUAACGAGUCCAUGCGGCAACGAGUCGACGCAGUCACUCCACAGAAACAGCCGAGAAUCUUAAAAGGAC